AACGAACGCUGGCGGCGUGCCUAACACAUGCAAGUCGAACGAACUCUUCGGAGUUAGUGGCGGACGGGUGAGUAAUACAUAGAAAACAUGCCCUAAAGUGGGGAUAACAUUCCGAAAGGAGUGCUAAUACCGCAUAAUGUAUUUGGUUGGAAUACUGAAUAAGAAAGGAGUAAUUCGCUUAUGGAGUGGUCUAUGGUCGAUUAGAUAGUUGGUGGGGUAAAGGCCUACCAAGUCGAUGAUCGAUAGCUGGUCUGAGAGGACGAUCAGCCACACUGGGACUGAGACACGGUCCAGACUCCUACGGGAGGCAGCAGUGGGGAAUAUUGGACAAUGGGGGCAACCCUGAUCCAGCCAUGCGCGNGUGUGAGAAGGACGUCGU
This 379-nucleotide ribosomal RNA is filed under the name uncultured bacterium. Its description in RNAcentral is "bacterial SSU rRNA". It matches the Rfam family "Bacterial small subunit ribosomal RNA", at positions 29 to 418 of the family's 1533-position model. The record is from RNAcentral.